GCUCGUAGUUGGAUUCCUGACCUGGGGUAGCCGGUCCGCCUUGCAAAAGGUGCGCACUGAGCGGCCUCGGUCAUCCUUGAGAAGAGCGGUCCUGGCAUUCAGUUGUCGGGGUCGGGAUUCUCGACGUUUACUGUGAAAAAAUCAGAGUGUUCAACGCAGGCUUACGCCUUGAAUACAUUAGCAUGGAAUAAUGAGAUAGGACCUUGGCGGUCUAUUUUGUUGGUUUGCACGCCGAGGUAAUGAUUAAAAGGGACGGUUGGGGUUCUUCGUAUUCAAUUGUCAGAGGUGAAAUUCUUGGAUUUAUGGAAGACUAACUGCUGCGAAAGCGUCGAACAAGGACGUUCUCAUUAAUCAAGAACGAAAGUUAGGGGAUCGAAGAUGAUUAUAUACCAUCGUAGUCUUAACCAUAAACUAUGCCGAUUCAGGAUUGGCGGUCGUUUGUUCUCGACUCCGUCAGCACUGUAUGAGAAAUCAAAAU
This 478-nucleotide ribosomal RNA is filed under the name Pelagomonas calceolata. Its description in RNAcentral is "SSU rRNA". It matches the Rfam family "Eukaryotic small subunit ribosomal RNA", at positions 626 to 1104 of the family's 1831-position model. Lineage: Eukaryota; Pelagophyceae; Pelagomonadales; Pelagomonadaceae. The record is from RNAcentral.